This 468-nucleotide ribosomal RNA is filed under the name uncultured bacterium. Its description in RNAcentral is "partial 16S ribosomal RNA". It matches the Rfam family "Bacterial small subunit ribosomal RNA", at positions 28 to 507 of the family's 1533-position model. The record is from RNAcentral.
GACGAACGCUGGCGGCGUGCUUAACACAUGCAAGUCGAACGGAAAGGCCCUGCUUUUGUGGGGUGCUCGAGUGGCGAACGGGUGAGUAACACGUGAGUAACCUGCCCUUGACUUUGGGAUAACUUCAGGAAACUGGGGCUAAUACCGGAUAGGAGCUCCUGCUGCAUGGUGGGGGUUGGAAAGUUUCGGCGGUUGGGGAUGGACUCGCGGCUUAUCAGCUUGUUGGGGGGGUAGUGGCUUACCAAGGCUUUGACGGGUAGCCGGCCUGGGAGGUUGACCGGCCACAUGGGGACUGAGAGACGGACCAGACGCCUACGGGAGGCAGCAGUGGGGAAUAUUGCACAAUGGGCGGAAGCCUGAUGCAGCAACGCCGCGUGCGGGAUGACGGCCUUCGGGUUGUAAACCGCUUUCGCCUGUGACGAAGCGUGAGUGACGGUAAUGGGUAAAGAAGCACCGGCUAACUACGUG